UUCAUUAAAAAAGAAUGGUUUAGUGGUCAAUUUUAAGGGCUGGUUGUUACAAAAUAAAAAUCUUCAUUUUCAAAGUAUUGAUUCCAUUUUAUGUGCAUUUUCCACUUAACUAUGCACAGUGGUUAAAAAAAUUCAUAAUGAAGGUUUAAUUUGAAUGGUUAAACGCGUAUGAUUUCCAAGAUGUCUACGUCAAUGUUAGUAAUAAUUAAGGAAUUUUGUUCCAUACAAAAUGCUUUAUUUAACCUUCAUGCCUUCAUUCAGAUAAUUAUACAAAUGCAUACAAUUAAAGGUUUAAACUCUAUUUCGGUUCACAGCUCAAUUCAUAGGAAAGUUGAAUACAGAAAAGCAAUGCACCAACAGAAUAUGUCUGAGACACCAUUAAAAAAACGAUAACACUUGUUCAUUUAAAUCUCUGAGAAUAGACUGGAAUAAUUAUCCUGUGAGAGAAUCUCAUUAGGAGGGUCUCCCUUUACAUUAUCAUAGGGCAAAAAAAAAAAAAAAAAUCACCAUUUUACAGUAAAAGGAAAAAAGCUCUGAGUAUAUUUACAAUACAUACACUAUACAUAAAUACAAGAACAACACUUACAUAAUAUUAAUAAACUUAUAACAGGGAUUGCCUAAACACUACAGAGUAUAUAAAAUGCAGAGGAAACUAUUAGGAAAUUAGAUCUUUAAGUCAGAGAAAUAAAUUCAUUUGCAAUUAAACUCUGAACAGAAAACCAAACAAAGAUUUACGAACUCAACACAUCUGCUUUGCCAGCAUCAUUGGGGGACCUUAUUCUUAUUUUUUUUUUUUAAUAUGUAGGAUUUCCUCUGGGCACUCUAGCUCUCUGAGAUCAGAAACAUACGAAUCAUUUGUAAAGUUACAUCCAUAGAAUGAAUUAGAUGCAGCCCACCAUUCUUUUUGCUG
Molecule: long non-coding RNA, 910 nt
Organism: Dipodomys spectabilis (banner-tailed kangaroo rat)
Lineage: Eukaryota; Metazoa; Chordata; Mammalia; Rodentia; Heteromyidae
Exons: 3
Source: RefSeq, a predicted model, not a curated record